AUAAAAAGUGCUGAACUUGGUGAAAUAUGCAAAUGUACGACUAUAGUGUGUAGACUCCUUAAUGACACUCAAACUUACAAGAAAGAAAAAGAAGAGAGGUCAAGUAACAUAGUCAACAUACUCGUAACACAAAGUGAAGGAACGGUUUCGGAAGAAGAGGCAGUAGAAGAGGUAAAAGAAAUGCUGGAGAAGAACAGAAGAAAAUUGCUGAGAAUGGUGCUUCAUAAGAAAGAAAGCAGUCAGUUGCCGCAAGUAUGCAAAGAUCUGUUUUGGAACACGAGCAAAGUAGCUCAUAUUCUAUACUCAAACGGCAAUGAGUUUCGCUCUCCAGAGGGACUCAAGAGUAAUAUAAACACAUUAUUUUACAAACCAGUCGACCUAUCCCCAACACAAGCCUAGAGUCUCGCCAAAUAGCCAGUGCUGAAACCCCAAGCAGAUUUUAAUGAGUUUUGUUGUUCUUAAACUGAAUGUUAGCUUAUCCUGAUGCUAUAUAUCUCUAUGACCAAUUGUGUUCAUUGAUCACAGAGCAUUUGGAAAAUUUCCUUUUGUCUUCUAUACUUCAACUUAUUGUUAGUUAUGUUGUAAAAUGUAGUGAGACCUUCAGUUAGAUUGUUGAAAUAAUUAGAGUUAUAUUUGGAAUGUUUUCAAAGUUUGAUUUGCCAUUUGUUAGUCAA
This is a long non-coding RNA of Nicotiana attenuata, 674 nucleotides long. RefSeq lists it as uncharacterized. The transcript is spliced from 2 exons. Lineage: Eukaryota; Viridiplantae; Streptophyta; Magnoliopsida; Solanales; Solanaceae. The record is from RefSeq and is a predicted model, not a curated record.